Molecule: long non-coding RNA, 469 nt
Organism: Phacochoerus africanus (Common warthog)
Lineage: Eukaryota; Metazoa; Chordata; Mammalia; Artiodactyla; Suidae
Exons: 2
Source: RefSeq, a predicted model, not a curated record
AUGAGAAGAAUGAAAAACAAACAAGCAAAGACAAAAUUAAGUCAGCAGCCCUCAAAUGGUGGAAAGGGGUGGUGGCCAGAAGCGCCUAAUAAUUUGACUCACUAAGUGAAGGUGGCAGGAAACACUGUAGGAAGGACCAAAGCUUCCCAGGAUGCUGGACCUGCACUGGAGCAAGGAGGCACCACAGAGCUUCAUACAGAGAGGCAUUGUGGGAGACUCCAGUGCUGGGUCCUUCCAACCCUCUUCAUGGCUAAGGGGGAAGCUGAAAUCUUUCAUUUCUUGGGUUUAUGAGGAGCCAAAAAUUAAGAGGCCUCCCAAAGAUUCUGAAGCACAAUAAUGGCCAUAAGUUGCUUAAGGGCAUCUGAUACAAGAAACUCUGUCUGCUGGUUUCAUGCUAUACACCAUUAAAAUAAUAAUAGCUGGCUUUGUACUGGGCUCUUCUAGAAAUAAAAGCUGUCAUAGACCUUAA